AAACUACUGAAAAGAAAAUGUUUUUUCUGUAUACGUGAGAGUGUAUUGGUGAGCUAUGAAAUGAACCGGUCGGUAGGGAAAGUAACGGUGGGAAGGAAUGCACCAAC
Bradysia coprophila is the source of this 107-nucleotide long non-coding RNA. NCBI's taxonomy places the organism in Eukaryota, Metazoa, Arthropoda, Insecta, Diptera, Sciaridae. The record is from RefSeq and is a predicted model, not a curated record.